UUUUUCUAUUUUCUAUUUCAUGUUUACUGUAAAAUUAAUCACCUGACUGACUACUCUUGAAAUUACCUUGACUGCAUUUGUCCAAUGUUUGUGUUUUCGAUAUACAUGUAACUCUGUAUUUUGGUUGGUGGUGUCAGAGUUUAGGCACAUUUUUCUUAAUGAAACUUUGUCAUGUGUCUUUCACGUUUUCACUCCUUUAGAUUUGACAGUUGAAUGGUGCAAAUGGGAGUUUGGAUUCAGAGAAGUUGUGGAAACCACCUCCAAACAGAGACUAUGUACCUUGUGUUGCCCCAAGUUCAUCCUAUGCGUGUAAGAAAUGUUGGGUGUUUCAUACUGCAUAUCUAAUAGAGUUUUCUCCUCCUUUGUAGCUCGUGUUAGAUAUCCAUCUGUGGCUUAUUUUCUGUAUUGCAAUAUAAUCUUCAGCUCCUCCAGAAUCUCGAGGUUACCUGCUGGUUGAUGCAAAUGGCG
This 468-nucleotide long non-coding RNA is filed under the name Olea europaea subsp. europaea. Lineage: Eukaryota; Viridiplantae; Streptophyta; Magnoliopsida; Lamiales; Oleaceae. The record is from RNAcentral.